RNAcentral lists this ribosomal RNA (588 nucleotides) under Microbotryum cardui. Its description in RNAcentral is "partial large subunit ribosomal RNA". It matches the Rfam family "Eukaryotic large subunit ribosomal RNA", at positions 61 to 646 of the family's 3401-position model. Lineage: Eukaryota; Fungi; Basidiomycota; Microbotryomycetes; Microbotryales; Microbotryaceae. The record is from RNAcentral.
GAAACUAACAAGGAUUCCCCUAGUAACGGCGAGUGAAGCGGGAAAAGCUCAAAUUUGUAAUCUGGCGCCUUUGGCGUCCGAGUUGUAAUCUCGAGAAGUAUUUUCCGCGCUGGACCGCACAUAAGUCUGUUGGAAUACAGCGUCAUAGUGGUGAGAACCCCGUAUAUGGUGCGGAUGCCCAGUGCUUUGUGAUAUACUUUCGAAGAGUCGAGUUGUUUGGGAAUGCAGCUCAAAUGGGGUGGUAAAUUCCAUCUAAAGCUAAAUAUUGGCGAGAGACCGAUAGCGAACAAGUACCGUGAGGGAAAGAUGAAAAGCACUUUGGAAAGAGAGUUAACAGUACGUGAAAUUGUUGGAAGGGAAACGCUUGAAGUCAGACUUGCAUUUUGGAGUUCAGCCGCAAGGUGUAUUCUCCAAUUCGCAGGCCAGCAUCAGUUUUCGGGGGUGGAAAAUCGCGGUUUGAAGGUAGCAGCCUCGGCUGUGUUAUAGCUUUCCGCUGGAUUCAUUUUUGGGGACUGAGGAACGCAGUACGCUUUUUGCAAGAUUUUAGAAUCUUUCGUACUUAGGAUGCUGGUGGAAUGGCUUUAAACA